Molecule: long non-coding RNA, 490 nt
Organism: Bradysia coprophila
Lineage: Eukaryota; Metazoa; Arthropoda; Insecta; Diptera; Sciaridae
Source: RefSeq, a predicted model, not a curated record
AGAUAAACAGCAAAUCAGUUGGCUUAAAUAUUGCUACUUACAAAUCAACACAAAUGUUCUUCCCAAAAUAUAAAGUUUUAUUUGUGGUAGAAGUUUUAGCUCUGGGUUUGGUUCAUGGCCAAGCUGAAAACGGAUAUUGUUACCUUGGCAGAAUAUUCGAUCCACUUCUUGGGUGCAGAAAAUCAUGUGAUGGUUUUCUAGUUUCGCCCACCGGCAGAUGUGAUGCUGGUCUACGUUGCUGCUUUUUAAGCAGUCCUCCGGAGACUACGAAGAAACAACCACCAGUUUCUCUUCCGCCCAAGGUUACGAAAAUGGAACCUCCAGUCACUCAAGCAAUGGAUGACGUAAAGAUUGAGAAAAUUAGACAGCCGCAAACCUUUGAAGACAUAACAAUCCCUCAGGAUUGGAGAUUGUGGUCGGGUUUGUGGCGCUAGCAGGAAAAUCAUUUAGUUACUACAAUUCAAUAAAGAAUUGCUUGUCAACAAUUAAA